CCUACGGGUGGCUGCAGUGGGGAGUAUUGCACAAUGGGCGCAAGCCUGAUGCAGCCAUGCCGCGUGUGUGAAGAAGGCCUUCGGGUUGUAAAGCACUUUCAGCGGGGAGGAAGGCGGUGAGGUUAAUAACCUCAUCGAUUGACGUUACCCGCAGAAGAAGCACCGGCUAACUCCGUGCCAGCAGCCGCGGUAAUACGGAGGGUGCAAGCGUUAAUCGGAAUUACUGGGCGUAAAGCGCACGCAGGCGGUCUGUCAAGUCGGAUGUGAAAUCCCCGGGCUCAACCUGGGAACUGCAUUCGAAACUGGCAGGCUAGAGUCUUGUAGAGGGGGGUAGAAUUCCAGGUGUAGCGGUGAAAUGCGUAGAGAUCUGGAGGAAUACCGGUGGCGAAGGCGGCCCCCUGGACAAAGACUGACGCUCAGGUGCGAAAGCGUGGGGAGCAAACAGGAUUAGAUACCCCUGUAGUC
This 465-nucleotide ribosomal RNA is filed under the name uncultured Klebsiella sp. RNAcentral describes it as "bacterial SSU rRNA". It matches the Rfam family "Bacterial small subunit ribosomal RNA", at positions 338 to 795 of the family's 1533-position model. The record is from RNAcentral. Lineage: Bacteria; Pseudomonadati; Pseudomonadota; Gammaproteobacteria; Enterobacterales; Enterobacteriaceae.